AUGGCUAGGCAGCCGCUCAGGUUCUACCCGCGACUGCUCCGAGCCGACUCCCCCGCCGCGGAGGACCCGGGCGUUCCCAUGGACAUGCGGCAUGGGCUGGAUCCGGACACGCUGGACCCCUACAAAAACAUGGUGCUCAACUUCUUCUAUUCCUACCUCCUGGAGUCGCCCGUCUCCACCGCCGCCUCCCUCUCCUGCACCACCGCGGAGGACGGCGACGGCGUCGACCGCGUCAGCCUUCUCCCCGACGAUCUCCUCCGCCGCGUCGUCUCCCGCCUCCCCGCCAAGGACGGCGCGCGCACCGCCGUGCUCUCCUCGCGCUGGCACCACCUUUGGCGCUCCACCCCGCUCGUCCUCGUCGACACCCACCUCCUUCCCGCGGCAUGCGCCGGGGCCCGGCCCGGCCGCGCCGGGGCCGUCUCUCGCGCCGUCACCGGCGCCGUCUCCGCAGCCCUCGAGGCGCACCAAGGGAACUUCACCUUCGUCAGCCUCACCUGCAGCUUCCUGGAACGCGCCGACCGCGGCGUGCUCGCGCGCUGGGUUCAGCUCCUCGCCACCAAAGGCGUCAGCGAGCUCGUCCUCGUCAACCGCCCGUGGCCCCUCCCCCGUGGCGUCUGCCUCCCAGUCGCGCUCUUCAGCUGCGCCUCUCUCACCCGUCUCUACCUCGGCGCCUGGCUGUUUCCGGACACCGCCACCCUCCCGCGCGGCGCUGCUUUCCCCAAUCUGCGUGAGCUCGUCCUCGGCUGCGUCAUGAUGACGGACAAGGAUCUCGACUUCGUGCUCGCCGCCAGCCCCGUGCUAGAGAUCCUCGCGGUCGUUGGAAGCCAGACCCAACUGCACGCUCGUCUUGCCAGUCAGAGCCUACGGUGCGCGCAAUUCUGCUUGUCCACUGUGGAGGAGGUCGCUGUGGUGGACGCCCCAUGCCUUGAGCGUCUCUUCAUCUGGUGCUGCUCAAGCCACGGCCUCGGCACGGCCAGGAGCAAAACAAGCAUUAGAGUCAAGAUUGGUCGUGCUCCACAGCUGCGUUUGCUGGGAUACUUACGGCCAGGAUGGCAUGUGCUGGAGGUUGGCAACACCACCAUCAAGGCUAGUACACAGGUGAGCCCAAGGACGAUUGUCCCCAGUGUCCAGAUGUUAGCAUUGAGCCUACAUUUUGGAAUCCGCAAUGAAGUCAAGAUGCUGCCUAGCUUCCUCAGGUGCUUUCCGAACGUCGAGGUUCUUCUUAUUCAGUCCGAGGAAACUCAUGAACCCACUGGUAACCUCCGCCUCAAGUUCUGGCAGGAGAAUGGUAUGAUUGAGUGCGUCCGAUCGCGCCUCAAAAGAAUCGUUUUCCGUGAGUACCAUGGGCAUGAGAAUGAGUUUGCCUUUCUCAUGUUCAUUGCUGAGAAUGCAGAGGUGCUGGAGCGGAUGGUGGUUGAGUUGAAGUUUGGAAGAUAUGCUGCGCCUGAAGAGAUUGCUAUCAAGAUGAAAGCUCUGCAAGGUGCCAAAUGGGCCAGUGGAGGCGAUAAAUUGCAACUCACCUUCAGCAAAUUUCCUAGUGCUUGGAGCCUCUCGAAAGGAUCUGACUUCUCAUUUGAUGACCCUUUUCUCUGCCUCUGCUAUAUGCCAACCUAUUUCGAAAUGCGAGAUAGCUCUGGCCAGUUCAAGCCUCUGGGUUAUCUUUAG
Molecule: ribosomal RNA, 1665 nt
Filed under: Triticum aestivum (bread wheat)
Lineage: Eukaryota; Viridiplantae; Streptophyta; Magnoliopsida; Poales; Poaceae
Description: partial small subunit ribosomal RNA
Source: RNAcentral